This 63-nucleotide transfer RNA is filed under the name Dinocampus coccinellae. RNAcentral describes it as "tRNA-Tyr". The record is from RNAcentral. Lineage: Eukaryota; Metazoa; Arthropoda; Insecta; Hymenoptera; Braconidae.
AGUAUUAUGUCUGACAAAAGUAAUAAACUGUAAAUUUAUUCAUAAGAAUUAUCUUUAAUACUA